Molecule: long non-coding RNA, 424 nt
Organism: Aquila chrysaetos chrysaetos
Lineage: Eukaryota; Metazoa; Chordata; Aves; Accipitriformes; Accipitridae
Exons: 2
Source: RefSeq, a predicted model, not a curated record
GGUCAACGCCUUUCUUGGCUCCUUGGGGUCCGGUGAGCAGAUGUGCUGCCCCAUGCCAGGUCAUGCCCACUCACUUGUUGGUGAGGAGCUAGACAUGUCACCAGCUGGGCAGGACAGUGCUAGCGCAGAGUCCCAGGGGGUGACACACAGUCCCCCUUCGGGAACGAAGCGUAGGGCGAGGACCCGGGGUGACCAUCUGAGCCCCCGAGGCUUGACGUGUGAGGUGGGACCGGCCUGGCAAAUGUCCAGCUGAUGCAGACUGGUACCCAGCAGUGUUUUGAGAGGCAUCUACCCAGGACAUCGGACACGUAAUCUGCUCGGAUACCCAAGGGCACCUGCCUGCGUCACCCUGAGCUUAAACCCCUGUCACUGCAGCCAUCAUUACGCUUUCUGUGCUCCAGCAGAAAAUAAACGCCCUUUUGGA